Long non-coding RNA from Ailuropoda melanoleuca (giant panda), 1687 nucleotides. RefSeq lists it as uncharacterized. The record is from RefSeq and is a predicted model, not a curated record. The transcript has 4 exons. NCBI's taxonomy places the organism in Eukaryota, Metazoa, Chordata, Mammalia, Carnivora, Ursidae.
GAGGCUUGGGGCCCAGAUGAGAGGCUCUUUGUGCUGAGGUUCCGAUAGGAAGAAAAAUUUUUGAACAAGUUUCCUGUUGUAUAACCUUAUCUGGAAAGUAAGCAUUUCAGGGUCUUUCCGAAAUUGAAGGGCACGAUUUGCUUGUAUUUGGUUCUUCAGUGUCCCCAGAAAAAGACUUAGGAGCGACAAGCACUGCUAGGGUUUUGCUCUUUCUUUCUGCCCUUUCACCUCAAGCUUUCAACGUCCAGCCUCAUGACAUCAGCCCUUAUUUUUAGGGAUGUUUUGAUGUGAUAUGUGUAACACACUGCUGUGACCCAAGCAUUCGGACGCGGUGGCCAAAGGCACUUGAGCUGAUUCAGGGUCGGCUGUCCUUCACCUUGGGGCCCGGACAAUGGCAGCCUGGGCUGGAUCCCAGGACUCCUGAGGGGGUAGGAACAAUGGGGGCAGGGAGGGCUGGAGGCACUCAGGGGCCCCCCUGCCAGCCUGCAGGACUCCGCUCACCCAGCUUAGACUUUGUGACCCACCAAGACCCCUGUGCCCCUGCCCACUGUGGAGGCUCCCGGGAUGUUGCUGGCCACAUUUAUACUUCAGGAGAAGUCCCAGAGCCGGUACAGAAAGCACCGAGUCACCUUGAGCUUAAUUCUCAAGGUUUGAGCCUCCCCGUACUUGUCAGGCAGAGGUGGCCCUGGCUUGAUGCUGCAAGCAGUGAUUCUAUGUGCUGCCUUCGAAACAGACACCAAGGAGAGGGACCCUGGCUGCAUGUGACCCCCAUUAAUGGUCAAGGGCAGGGAAAAGAAGAGAUGGUCUCUUUUUAGAAAGAACCCCCAGUGAAGCAGCAAAACCACACACACACACACACACACACACACACACACACACACACCCCAAAACACAUCUGAGCUGUGGCAACCAUGGGGAGGUGUAUACCACUAGGGUCACAUUAUCUUCCUUCAAGAAGCCACCAGCUCCUUCAUAGCUGGACUCAGCUUUCCAGCCCAGGCCAUGCCCCACCGGAGGCUGAACUUGGGGGGGGCAUACGUUCUGAGGGCCUGGGCAUUUCUACCCCUCCGGAGUCGUCUAAUAGGUGAUAUUGCUCUGAAGCUGGCUGAGACUCUGCCAGAUUGGCCCCACAGGCCGAGGCUCCCCUUGCUCAACCCUGCUUCCUCCCCUUUCACCUUUUAAAUCUCUUGCCCUUUCUCUGCGUCUGUGCGGCUUCCCGGAGGACCUGUCUGGUAGAGGAGCACAGAUGGGACUAUGUUUGGAAAUCACAGUGAACCAGAGUCGGUUUCCAGCCCCGACUGUACUGCAGAUUGUGCUCUGAGAUGUCCCACAGCCUACACCGAAACUUCUCUAAACGGCUCAUUUAUUUUGGACACUUACGAAAAGACUGAGCAGUGGUUCAGACCAGUAUUAAAGUAAUGACUGCAGCCCCACACGGCAGAGGAUGACAUUCCUGAUAGACUCCUCCUGGCCAUGAAAGAGGCGGACAUAGGGAGAAGGUGGCAUGAGCUGUGCUUUCGCAGGAUAGCCAAGCCUAUAGCACAAACCCCUGGAGGCACAUGGCAAAUAAAAUCGGGGAUGGUGCUGAGUGGUGACAGCCUCAGUCUCGUUCCUUAUGGCAAAGAUACAUAAAUUAACCACUGAUAAAUGGCGUCUUUUGUUGGCAUAUUAGUCAAAAGGUCAAGAA